This 19-nucleotide unclassified non-coding RNA is filed under the name Mus musculus (house mouse). RNAcentral describes it as "oocyte_clustered_small_RNA5108". Lineage: Eukaryota; Metazoa; Chordata; Mammalia; Rodentia; Muridae. The record is from RNAcentral.
ACAGAUGACCCCCGAAAGC